UGGGAAUUGUCCUGAAUGACACUGCAACAACAGAUAACAGGCCAUUAUAUAUCUUGCCAUAACCUACAGAAUUGGGUAGGAGAGAGUGUAAACUACAAUGUAAACUUUAAUCCAUUCAGUGCUCCAAAACAUGUGCAAUUGCAAUGAAUGUACCUCACUAAUCAAGGAUGUUGUUAAUGUCGGAAAAUGUAGGAGGUGUGGGGAGUGGGGUAUAUGGGAAUCCCCUAUAUUUUUUAUGUGACAUUUGUAUAAUCUAGAGAAUAUUUUUUUAAUUAAAAAUUUGAAAAUUUAAAAUAAAAGAUUUCCAUUGUGUACUGCAUAGUAUUAAUAAAUUGACAGAUAAAAUAAAGAAAAAAUUCCUUUGGCACAGGUGUAAGUUUUUCUUUAUGGAAGAAUUAGCAGAAACUGUAUUUAUAUUUGACUCAUGUUCUUUAUCAUUUUUAACAGAACUCCUGGGGCCCUUGGACAGAGGUGAAAGGCUAAACGAAGCUUUGCUUGACCUAUCUUCAGCACCCCAAGGGGAAGACAUAUUUCCAGAUGACCUUCCUCCCUCUAGUUCAAUCCCUAGACCCAUUAUUCAACAAAGAGUACCAAAUGGUUCUUCUCAUAGAAGGGGAAGGAAAAGAAGACUGCAUAGAACAGGAAAUCGGAGAUGGAGGUUCUCUCAGAAUGGUUCACUUUGGCUUGGUGUAAACACAAGAAAAAAAUUUCAUAUCUAA
This 719-nucleotide long non-coding RNA is filed under the name Dasypus novemcinctus (nine-banded armadillo). RNAcentral's name for it is "lncRNA (ENSDNOG00000050537.1)". The record is from RNAcentral. Lineage: Eukaryota; Metazoa; Chordata; Mammalia; Cingulata; Dasypodidae.